This 279-nucleotide ribosomal RNA is filed under the name uncultured bacterium. Its description in RNAcentral is "partial 16S ribosomal RNA". It matches the Rfam family "Bacterial small subunit ribosomal RNA", at positions 506 to 784 of the family's 1533-position model. The record is from RNAcentral.
UGCCAGCCGCCGCGGUAAUACGGAGGGUGCAAGCGUUGCUCGGAAUCACUGGGCGUAAAGAGAGUGUAGGCGGCCUUAUAUGUCUGACGUGAAAGCCCCGGGCUCACCCCGGGAAGUGCGUUGGAAACUGUGAGGCUAGAGUCUCGGAGAGGGAGGUGGAAUUCCAGGUGUAGCGGUGAAAUGCGUAGAUAUCUGGAAGAACACCGGUGGCGAAGGCGACCUCCUGGACGAUGACUGACGCUGAGACUCGAAAGCGUGGGGAGCAAACAGGAUUAGAUA